Molecule: non-coding RNA, 89 nt
Filed under: Rhodomicrobium vannielii
Lineage: Bacteria; Pseudomonadati; Pseudomonadota; Alphaproteobacteria; Hyphomicrobiales; Hyphomicrobiaceae
Also listed under: 1 other name
Description: Glycine sequence
Rfam family: Glycine riboswitch aptamer
About the family: This family represents the bacterial glycine riboswitch. Glycine riboswitches usually consist of two metabolite-binding aptamers domains with similar structures in tandem.
Source: RNAcentral
CCGAUGCAUGCGGGAGAGACCAGCCCAGGCUGGCGCCGAAGGAGCAACCGCCCCGGAAACUCUCAGGCAAAAAGGACCGCGCGCAGACA